GAUGAACGCUGGCGGCGUGCCUAAUACAUGCCAGUCGAGCGAACAGACGAGGAGCUUGCUCCUCUGACGUUAGCGGCGGACGGGUGAGUAACACGUGGAUAACCUACCUAUAAGACUGGGAUAACUUCGGGAAACCGGAGCUAAUACCGGAUAAUAUAUUGAACCGCAUGGUUCAAUAGUGAAAGACGGUUUUGCUGUCACUUAUAGAUGGAUCCGCGCCGCAUUAGCUAGUUGGUAAGGUAACGGCUUACCAAGGCGACGAUGCGUAGCCGACCUGAGAGGGUGGUCGGCCCCACCGGAACUGGGACACCGUCCCGACUCCUUAGGGGAGGAGCAGUAGGGAAACUUCCGCAAAGGGCGGAAGCCUGACGGAGCAACGGCGCGUGAGUGGAGGAGGUCUUCCGAUCGUAAAACCCUUUUAAUAAGGAAAAACAAAUGUUGAAAGUACUAUGCAACGCUUGAAGGUACCUAAUCAAAAAAGCACGGCUAACUUCGUG
This 497-nucleotide ribosomal RNA is filed under the name uncultured bacterium. RNAcentral describes it as "partial 16S ribosomal RNA". It matches the Rfam family "Bacterial small subunit ribosomal RNA", at positions 28 to 507 of the family's 1533-position model. The record is from RNAcentral.